RNAcentral lists this small nuclear RNA (20 nucleotides) under Arabidopsis thaliana (thale cress). RNAcentral describes it as "snRNA_15774". The record is from RNAcentral. Lineage: Eukaryota; Viridiplantae; Streptophyta; Magnoliopsida; Brassicales; Brassicaceae.
UAAAGCACUAUAUCAUACUG